RNAcentral lists this ribosomal RNA (492 nucleotides) under uncultured bacterium. RNAcentral describes it as "partial 16S ribosomal RNA". It matches the Rfam family "Bacterial small subunit ribosomal RNA", at positions 29 to 507 of the family's 1533-position model. The record is from RNAcentral.
AGUGAACGCUGGCGGUAGGCCUAACACAUGCAAGUCGAACGGCAGCACAGUAAGAGCUUGCUCUUACGGGUGGCGAGUGGCGGACGGGUGAGGAAUACAUCGGAAUCUACUUUUUCGUGGGGGAUAACGUAGGGAAACUUGCGCUAAUACCGCAUACGACCUACGGGUGAAAGCAGGGGAUCUUCGGACCUUGCGCGAUUGAAUGAGCCGAUGUCGGAUUAGCUAGUUGGCGGGGUAAAGGCCCACCAAGGCGACGAUCCGUAGCUGGUCUGAGAGGAUGAUCAGCCACACUGGAACUGAGACACGGUCCAGACUCCUACGGGAGGCAGCAGUGGGGAAUAUUGGACAAUGGGCGCAAGCCUGAUCCAGCCAUACCGCGUGGGUGAAGAAGGCCUUCGGGUUGUAAAGCCCUUUUGUUGGGAAAGAAAAGCAGUAGGUUAAUACCCCGCUGUUCUGACGGUACCCAAAGAAUAAGCACCGGCUAACUUCGUG